Molecule: ribosomal RNA, 253 nt
Filed under: uncultured bacterium
Lineage: Bacteria
Description: partial 16S ribosomal RNA
Rfam family: Bacterial small subunit ribosomal RNA
Source: RNAcentral
UACGUAGGGUCCGAGCGUUGUCCGGAUUUAUUGGGCGUAAAGAGCUCGUAGGCGGUUUGUCGCGUCUGCUGUGAAAAUCCAGGGCUUAACCCUGGACCUGCAGUGGGUACGGGCAGACUAGAGUGCGGUAGGGGAGAUCGGAAUUCCUGGUGUAGCGGUGAAAUGCGCAGAUAUCAGGAGGAACACCGGUGGCGAAGGCGGAUCUCUGGGCCGUAACUGACGCUGAGGAGCGAAAGCAUGGGGAGCGAACAGG